CGAUUUGCGAAAAUUUUAAAUUCUGCCACUCUUUUUGGAAUAAUCUACAGUCUAUUAGUGUAAUAUUUGUCAAAUUGCGUCUUAUUAGCAAAACUAUCAUAUUUUUAAACGAUUCCUUAGCAACAAUGACUAGUGCAUUUCUAGUGCCAGGCAUUACGCAGUUUAGCCCGACCAAGUAGUAAAAUCUAUAGUGGGAAUAUCUGUAAUCUGAUUGGUUGAGAGUAGCUGUGAACACACUCAAACGUUUAACAACAUCUAGUCGGGCUCAUUUUCAAAAGCGUGACUUGAAUUUUGAGCUUUCGAAAUAUACGUUCGGAAAUCGAUAUAAUAAGUGAACUAUAAAAGAAACCAUUUCUGUUCGACAAUCAGGCGAGCAAAAUAUACUCGUAAAGCAGCGGCCAAUUCCAAAUUUACAAGCGACUACAGGCAAUAGAAGCUUUCAGGAAAGUUGGUACUCGAAGAAAGAUUGGCUUUGUGGUAGCUCAGAAAAGAAUGCAUUGUUCUGUUGGUCUUGUCUUUUGUUUUGCCCUGGAUCGUAAUCUUCAUGGACGCAGACGGGAUUCAAAAACAUGAAGAAUUUCCUAUUCGAUUGUAAGAAGCAUGAGAAGGCAAAAUCGCACAUGGGUGCUUACAAGACCUGGAAGACCAAUGGUUUUCAGCCUCGUGUGUCGACUGUCUCAUGUCACAAGCUAGACGUGAAGAGAUUCAACGUCAUAACGAGGAGGUUGAUGAGGCAACUGAUGUUUCUACCAAAGAACAAUUGAGUGUAAUUGUUCGAAUGGACAAAGGGGAAAGUGUCAUUGAAAGACAGCUUGGGUUUGUUGAUGUUAGUUGUGAUAGGACUGCAACUGCUAUAUCAUCAGUGGUUAAGGGUAAGUUAAGUAAAUAUAAUAAUGUGAAGGAGAAAUUUAUUGGACAGACUUAUGAUGGUGCAUCUGUUAUGUCUGGUCAUCUCAAUGGUGUUCAAGCUCAAGUUCAGCAGGAUUAUCCUUAUGCUCAAUUUGUUCACUGUGCUGCCCAUAGACUAAAUCUAGUAUUAUGUCAAGCUGCAUCCUCCAUUUCACCUGUUAAGAUUUUCUUUGUUAAUAUUAGUGCUUUCUGCACCUUUACUAGCAAUUCCCCCAAAAGAAAAGCUUUACUAUCAUCCCAUAGACUUGAGUUUCCUAGUCCUGGUGACACAAGAUGGUAUUAUAGGGCUCAUGUCAUCAAUGUCUUGCAUUCUAAAUAUGAGAAACUGAUAGACAUAUUUGAAAAUCUUACUGAUAAUCCCAUAGGUUGGGAUGAUGAAACGUUAAAUAAGGUUACUGGUUUACUUGGCUACCUUAUGUCUUCUUGUUUUGUUUCUUGGUACUAGUUUUCCAGAGAAUUCUUGAGCAAUCAUCCAUACUUUAUUCUAUCUUGCAAGACAAGGACACUGACUUUCAUUAUGGAGUGAGUAGGGUUGAGAGAUUCAAGGCCUUUGUUGCUUCUCUGAGAAAUGAUACAGAAUAUUGUCAGGUGUACGACCUGGCUGUUGAGAAAGUGGGACCACCAGUAACCAGGAUUUCCAUUCACAAAGACAUACUGUCAGAGAAAGAAGACGCCAACACAUUGCAUGAUGAGGUAGUAAAGAAGUUCAUUGAAAAACCACGAAGACUUGCUUUCUUAUACAAAUAGGUAUUCAUAUUUGGCUGAUAGCAAGCUGAUGAUGUCUUACGUCCAUGGCAUGUGAGAAUUUUUCCUGGAACUUUUUAAUGCAGGCAAUGAUGAUUGUCAUUUCAGCACGACAAUGAACGGCAUCACAACUUUUGAUAGUUGUUGAGGACAAAUAUCAGCCUUUUUCGGUUCUUUUGUCAAAGUUUCUUUACAAGAUGUACAUAGUUAUCUAUUUAUGUAUGUGGUGUUGAGAAAAU
This is an RNA transcript of Xenia sp. Carnegie-2017, 1892 nucleotides long. It is a transcript of the gene named zinc finger MYM-type protein 1-like, with no coding region annotated. The transcript is spliced from 3 exons. Lineage: Eukaryota; Metazoa; Cnidaria; Anthozoa; Malacalcyonacea; Xeniidae. The record is from RefSeq and is a predicted model, not a curated record.